AUAGUGAGAGUGAAAUAGUGCAAAGAGUGCGAAACAGAGGAUUGUGCAAAAAAGUCUACAUUCAUGCUUUCCUUUGAUUUGACCAGAGCUGUGAACUUAAAAUCCAUUCUGCUGAAUAGUCUGGGGAUGCUCCAUUUCCAAGUAAAAACAAAAAGAGUUUGAAGGUAGAAGUGUCGUCGAUGGGUUUCUUCCAAAAGGUUCCAAGCAUGACUGGGAGGCGUGUUUCUAACCCACCGGCGGGUCUUGGAACGACACGCCCGUUAAAAGUAUACGAACAGCAGAGGAUGAAAAGAGUUUACUGUUAAUAAACAGAAGUCGCACUAAAUCGACGGUAGGAUGUAUAGGAUGAAGGUAUAUAUGAAUGAACCGUUAUAACGGAUAUUAUGACGAAUUUCGACAACAACCUUUAUGGAAAAACCCUAAAGUAUAUUAAAAUUAUCUAAAUGUCCUAUUCGCGUACAAAUUAAGCCUACAACCCGCAUAAAAACCGUCGACUUGUAUUGUACGAAUACGGAGAAAUAUGUAAACAAAUAAACCGGAUGUUACGCAAAAUUACCGGAAGUUGUAAAAAACCUGGAAAAAUUACAUCUGAACAUGUAAUAAAUUACAAUGAGACACAAAACCUAAUGAAAUUUUAAACGAAUAUGGAAAAUUCAGAGGACUUACGUGAGAAAAACUUUGAGGAGCUUGAUUCUUAAAACAAAUUUUCGCGCUCUUAAAUAAUCACAAAGAUCCUUGUUGUCAUGGUAACUAUUCGUGAUAUCGCGAGAGCAAUUUUGAAAUCUAAACCGUAAGGGCUAGUGUUUACUGAUAUAUUGGAGAACUAUAGAGGGAGAAAAUAUGAAAUCGGAGGAUUAAAAUCGACGAUCGUGGUGAAAGUGAAUGGAAAUUAUAUCGAUAAAAGGUAUGAAAAGCAAAUUAAGAAUGAAAUAUAAUCAGCGAUUGAGAAAUAUCGAAGUUAUUGUAAUGGAAUGUGACCACGUGAAAAAACAUUGGAUCAUAGCUAUAAAAUCUUUAUAGUCAAAAAAUUAUUUAAAAUUUAUAAAACAUUGCAUCAAUUGGAGAAAUUGAAUGUAAAGUCUACAUAGGAUGCAGUUAAAUCUCAUUUAACAUCGAGUAAGGCCUAACAUUUGAAUGCAUGCUAAAUAUUAUAUACAGAUUUACAUGCAUAUGCAAUUUAAAUACAUCAUUACUCAUAGCAUAAGAUCAAAUUAUUUACAAAGAUUCAACUGGUAAAUUAUAUAAUAUUCUACCUAUGAAGAAAACCUUUUAUAUAAGUUUAUUGUGUA
Molecule: long non-coding RNA, 1289 nt
Organism: Dendronephthya gigantea
Lineage: Eukaryota; Metazoa; Cnidaria; Anthozoa; Malacalcyonacea; Nephtheidae
Exons: 3
Source: RefSeq, a predicted model, not a curated record